GAGGGUAUAGCUCAGUGGUAGAGCACCUGCUUAGCAUGCAGGAGCUCCUGGGUUCAAUCCUCAGUCCCUCCA
This 72-nucleotide transfer RNA is filed under the name Camelus bactrianus (Bactrian camel). It matches the Rfam family "tRNA". From Rfam's summary of the family: Transfer RNA (tRNA) molecules are approximately 80 nucleotides in length. Their secondary structure includes four short double-helical elements and three loops (D, anti-codon, and T loops). The record is from Rfam by way of RNAcentral. Lineage: Eukaryota; Metazoa; Chordata; Mammalia; Artiodactyla; Camelidae. RNAcentral also lists the same sequence under 2 other names.